Non-coding RNA from Poecilia reticulata (guppy), 261 nucleotides. NCBI's taxonomy places the organism in Eukaryota, Metazoa, Chordata, Actinopteri, Cyprinodontiformes, Poeciliidae. The record is from RefSeq and is a predicted model, not a curated record.
UUCCUCAGGCCGGCAUCAGCGGCCAGAAAGGAGAAAAGGGAGAACCAGCUGUUUUGGAGCCUGGAAUGCUGAUUGAAGGUCCUCCAGGGCCUGAAGGACCUGCUGGGCUUCCGGGACCUUCUGGUCCUUCUGGACCUCCUGGCUCAGUGGGUGACCCUGGUGAGAGGGGUCCUCCUGGCAGGGCGGGUCUGCCGGGGGCCGAUGGAGUUCCUGGACCUCCUGGAACUUCAGUCAUGCUGCCUGUAAAAUAUCUUUACUCAU